RNAcentral lists this ribosomal RNA (1334 nucleotides) under metagenome. Its description in RNAcentral is "bacterial SSU rRNA". It matches the Rfam family "Bacterial small subunit ribosomal RNA", at positions 131 to 1465 of the family's 1533-position model. The record is from RNAcentral.
GAGUAAUGGGGGAUAACGCAGCGAAAGUUGUGCCAAUACCGCAUACGCCCUGAGGGGGAAAGUGGGGGAUCGCAAGACCUCACGUUAUUCGAGCGGCCGACGUCUGAUUAGCUAGUUGGUGAGGUAAUGGCUCACCAAGGCGACGAUCAGUAGCGGGUCUGAGAGGAUGAUCCGCCACACUGGGACUGAGACACGGCCCAGACUCCUACGGGAGGCAGCAGUGGGGAAUUUUGGACAAUGGGGGCAACCCUGAUCCAGCCAUUCCGCGUGAGUGAAGAAGGCCUUCGGGUUGUAAAGCUCUUUCAGCUGGAACGAAACGGUAGAGGCUAAUACCCUCUGCUAAUGACGGUACCGGCAGAAGAAGCACCGGCUAACUACGUGCCAGCAGCCGCGGUAAUACGUAGGGUGCGAGCGUUAAUCGGAAUUACUGGGCGUAAAGCGUGCGCAGGCGGAUUGUUAAGCAAGACGUGAAAUCCCCGGGCUUAACCUGGGAAUGGCGUUUUGAACUGGCAGUCUAGAGUGUGUCAGAGGGGGGUGGAAUUCCACGUGUAGCAGUGAAAUGCGUAGAGAUGUGGAGGAACACCAAUGGCGAAGGCAGCCCCCUGGGAUAACACUGACGCUCAUGUACGAAAGCGUGGUAGCAAACAGGAUUAGAUACCCUGGUAGUCCACGCCCUAAACGAUGUCAACUGGUUGUUGGGGGAGUGAAAUCCCUUAGUAACGAAGCUAACGCGUGAAGUUGACCGCCUGGGGAGUACGGUCGCAAGAUUAAAACUCAAAGGAAUUGACGGGGACCCGCACAAGCGGUGGAUGAUGUGGAUUAAUUCGAUGCAACGCGAAAAACCUUACCUACCCUUGACAUGUCCAGAAUCCUGCAGAGAUGCGGGAGUGCCCGAAAGGGAAUUGGAACACAGGUGCUGCAUGGCUGUCGUCAGCUCGUGUCGUGAGAUGUUGGGUUAAGUCCCGCAACGAGCGCAACCCUUAUCAUUAGUUGCUACGCAAGGGCACUCUAAUGAGACUGCCGGUGACAAACCGGAGGAAGGUGGGGAUGACGUCAAGUCCUCAUGGCCCUUAUGGGUAGGGCUUCACACGUCAUACAAUGGUCGGUACAGAGGGUUGCCAAGCCGCGAGGUGGAGCCAAUCCCAGAAAGCCGAUCGUAGUCCGGAUUGUUCUCUGCAACUCGAGAGCAUGAAGUCGGAAUCGCUAGUAAUCGCGGAUCAGCAUGUCGCGGUGAAUACGUUCCCGGGCCUUGUACACACCGCCCGUCACACCAUGGGAGUUGACUGCACCAGAAGUAGGUAGCUUAACCGCAAGGGGGGCGCUUACCACGGUGU